CCUACGGGUGGCAGCAGUGGGGAAUAUUGGACAAUGGGGGGAACCCUGAUCCAGCCAUGCCGCGUGUGUGAAGAAGGCCCUCGGGUUGUAAAGCACUUUCAGUGAGGAAGAACGCCUGGUGGUUAAUACCCAUCAGGAAAGACAUCACUCACAGAAGAAGCACCGGCUAACUCCGUGCCAGCAGCCGCGGUAAUACGGAGGGUGCGAGCGUUAAUCGGAAUUACUGGGCGUAAAGCGCGCGUAGGUGGCUUGAUAAGCCGGUUGUGAAAGCCCCGGGCUCAACCUGGGAACGGCAUCCGGAACUGUCAAGCUAGAGUGCAGGAGAGGAAGGUAGAAUUCCCGGUGUAGCGGUGAAAUGCGUAGAGAUCGGGAGGAAUACCAGUGGCGAAGGCGGCCUUCUGGACUGACACUGACACUGAGGUGCGAAAGCGUGGGAAGCAAACAGGAUUAGAUACCCUUGUAGUC
RNAcentral lists this ribosomal RNA (465 nucleotides) under Vreelandella stevensii. RNAcentral's name for it is "partial 16S ribosomal RNA". It matches the Rfam family "Bacterial small subunit ribosomal RNA", at positions 338 to 795 of the family's 1533-position model. The record is from RNAcentral. Lineage: Bacteria; Pseudomonadati; Pseudomonadota; Gammaproteobacteria; Oceanospirillales; Halomonadaceae.